UGGAUACACUUAGUGGCGGACGGGUGAGUAACGCGUGGGUACCUGCCUCACACUGGGGGAUAACAGUUAGAAAUAGCUGCUAAUACCGCAUAAGUCCGCAUGGAAAAAACUCCGGUGGUGUGAGAUGGACCCGCGUCUGAUUAGCCAGUUGGCGGGGUAACGGCCCACCAAAGCGACGAUCAGUAGCCGGCCUGAGAGGGUGAACGGCCACAUUGGGACUGAGACACGGCCCAAACUCCUACGGGAGGCAGCAGUGGGGAAUAUUGCACAAUGGGGGAAACCCUGAUGCAGCGACGCCGCGUGAGUGAAGAAGUAUUUCGGUAUGUAAAGCUCUAUCAGCAGGGAAGAAGUGACGGUACCUGAAUAAGAAGCCCCGGCUAACUACGUGCCAGCAGCCGCGGUAAUACGUAGGGGGCAAGCGUUAUCCGGAUUUACUGGGUGUAAAGGGAGCGUAGACGGCAAGGCAAGUCUGAAGUGAAAGCCCGGUGCUUAACCCCGGGACUGCAUUUGGAACUGUCAGGCUAGAGUGUCGGAGAGGAAAGCGGAAUUCCUAGUGUAGCGGUGAAAUGCGUAGAUAUUAGGAGGAACACCAGUGGCGAAGGCGGCUUUCUGGACGAUGACUGACGUUGAGGCUCGAAAGC
Molecule: ribosomal RNA, 641 nt
Filed under: uncultured bacterium
Lineage: Bacteria
Description: bacterial SSU rRNA
Rfam family: Bacterial small subunit ribosomal RNA
Source: RNAcentral